Molecule: long non-coding RNA, 16759 nt
Filed under: Marmota monax (woodchuck)
Lineage: Eukaryota; Metazoa; Chordata; Mammalia; Rodentia; Sciuridae
Rfam family: tRNA (bases 4671-4742)
Source: RNAcentral
GAGCAAGGAGCAGAAGUGUGAUUCCAGGCCUAAUCUAAAGUUUACCUUGUGCCUUUAGGGAAUCCCUUUCUUUCUCUGGGCUUCUGCUUUCUCAUCAACACUGGGUCACUGGGGAAAAGUGAUCUCCAGUAAGCCUCUUGGCUCUGACAGGCUGUCAUUUGUCUUUGCACAUUUCAUUCCAGCUCAGUCUGACCUCCAGCACCCCAUGGUGCUGACAGCGAUCUGAUGCUCCCAGGGUGCUGCAGACCUGAGCUGAGUCCACAAUCAGACAAUAUUGGGUCUGGAUCUUUUCCCCUCACUGGCUUCUGAGGACACACAAGGCAGAAUAUCUGAGCUGUAUCUGUGAGUAAUAUCCAGGACUCUGUGUUCCUGUGGGGUACCCAACUGCUACUCUUGCUCCCACCAGAAAUCUCCUUUGAGCUGCUUGUGACCCCAGCUCUCCUACCUCUGUCAGUUAUGAUUGAGCCUCUGAGAGGGAAUGCAAGAGGUUCCAUGGAGGGAGGAGAGGGGUAUGUGAAGGCUCAUUGAGCUCAUCCACCUCCUGCAUUCCUCUUACACCUCUUCUCAACCUCCCUCAACCACUCUUUGUCUGCUCCAGGUAAAAUGGGCUGUGGCUCCCAGGCAGCAUUGAUAGCAUGGUGGUUGCUAGGGCACUGUGGGAUUGUUUUGAAGCAGGUCCAGUGGGGAGGGCUUUCAUUCUCUUCAGUGGGGGCCCUGUUUUUCUUCAUAUGGGAACAUUUGGCUGCAUGAGUUCAUUCCCAUGGUCACCAUCACUGACUUGUCAGUUCAUUCAGGUACUACACACCUUCUGAAUUCAUUUUACCUCCUUCCUCCAAUAUGUGAUCACCAGGGAUGUUGAUGAUGAUGAUGAUGAUGAUGAUGAUGAUGAUAAUAAUAAUAAUAAUAAUAAUAAUAAUAAUAAAACAAUAAUAGGGCAGGGGAUGUUGGACAUUCUUAAGUGUGCCUGGAUUCAAAUUCAGGAACAACAAAAAAGUUUGAAAGCUUAAAACCCUGAGAAAUUACCCCCAUGUGUGAUGAAUAAGAAAAACAAGAGAGAUGCUUAAAAAUUAUAAUGAUUGGUCUUCCUAAGGUUUAAAGGACUGUUCCUUUGAUUGAAACUAGAAUAACAGGCUGCUAUUACAGAGGAGCAGUUGUUAGGUGGAAGGGUAUUGUGGGUCUUAACAGAGCUAUGAUUCUCAUCUGCAAACAUUUUCAGAAAAUAGGGAAGAAAGAACACUUUCCAACUCAUUCUACAAGGCAAAUAUUAUUUUAUACAAAAUCAAGAGUAAACAUGACAAGAAAACCACAGAUCACUUAUUGUCCCUCCUUAAGAAAAGCAAAAAUCAUUAAUAAGAUACUGGUCAUCUGAAUGGAGCAACACUGACAAGGAGUAUACAAUAUGAACAGGUAGGAUUUGCCCAAGAAUUCCAGGUGGUUUAAUAUCCCAAAACCAGUCUGGCACUGAGGAUGACCCUCAUCUGCACCACAGAGGGCACCACAGGCCUGCUAUAUGACUGUCACCUUCCUUCAGAUGUGCUAGAAAGCCUGCUGCAUUAAAAGGAGACAAUUAGUUUUGAGGAGUAGUCUGAGACUAAGGAGCAAGCUGUGCAAACAGGAAAAAGAAAUUUCAAAAAAUUAUCUGAACAACAACUCACAAAGAGGAGGCCUAGAGAAUAACUACUCCCCAAGAAGCAAGCAGGUAGAUUGUGAAUGCAGUAUCUUUAAUUAAUUUAGCAUAUUUGAAUAUUUAUUUUGUCUUUUGGUAAAUGCAUUUUUCUAGGAAUUUGCCCACUUUACAGGAAUUGCCUUCUCAGUUGCUAUAAAAGUUUUCAUAAAUAUAUUUUCUAGGAAUUUGUCUACUUCUUCUGAUAUAAAGUUUUCCAUAGCGUCCUCUUGUGGACUUUUAAAAUGUCUGUGAGCCAGGUGAUGAUGUGAGCCUUUUCAUCCUCCUUCAGGCCCUUGCCCUUCUCACUCACCCAGGAUCAGUCAUCAGGGACCCAUCCCCUACUUACUCUUUCCCCAGCAAUAUCCUUUGGGCUUUGUAGACCUUCUCCAUCGAGGGUUCUUUUCUAUUUGUUUAAUUGUGUUCUUUGUGUCUCCCAACCUGCCACCAUGUCUGAGCUCCAUUGUUUCUCUUUUUCUUACUUCUUGAGACAAGUGCUUCUCUUCUGGGUUUGCUCCCUCUUUUCACCCUGUAUACACAGGGAAACAUGUAUGUUUUCCCCUAACAGUGGCAUUAGGUGCAGCCUGUGAAUUUUUAUAGCCUUUAUUAUAGUUCAGUUCAAACUAAUAUCUAUAUUCUAUUGGGAUUCUUUAUAUCCCUGUGUUAUUUAGAAGUAUAUUGCUUCUACAUAGUUACAAGUACAUAGGAACAUUUUGUAAAAAUGUAUGAUUCCUCAUUGAAUUGCAAAGAACAAACUCUGAGUGAUUGAUGAAAAUCUAUGAUAAAAAAUAUGAUCAGUUUUGAAAAUGUGCUUAAAAAGAAUAGUUUAUAUUCCCUAAAAUGUUUCAUUGUUCUCUAAGUGUAUGUACAUUGGUUAAAUCUGCUAAAAUUUGUUCCAUUAUUAACUUAUACCAAUUUUUGUUCCACAUGUAUGUGUCAAUGUGCAUCUGUGCAUGUGUGUACUGCUUCAGAUGGAACCCAGGACCCUAUGUGUGCUAGAGAAGUGUUUUACCACUGAGCUACAUCCCUACACCUGCUUUUCUAUCAGACAAAAAUUUCUAGGGCUUGGGUUGUGGCUCAGUGGUAGAGCACUUGCCUCGCAACUACAAAAGUGAGGCACUGGGUUUGAUCCUCAGCACCACAUAAAACUAAAAUGAAGAUUAUUAUUAUUUUUUUACCUACAACUAAAAAACAAAUAUAUAAAAAGAAAACUUCUAUGUUUUACUUGUCUGAUUCUUUUUAAGUUUUCUUCAAUUCAUACACCUACACAAAAAUAUCUGCAAAAUAUUUUCACAAAUUAGACUGUAUUCUUCAACAUAAAUCAAGCCUCAAAAAUUUCCAAUAAGUGAAAUCAUUCUGAUUUCAGAGUAUUUUCUCUAGAACAAUUGAGAAAUCAAAAAUAUUAGAAAAUCAGGGCUGGGGCUGUGGUUCAGUAGUAGAGCACUUGCCUAGCAUUUGUGAGGCACUGGCUUGGAUCCUCAGUACCACAUAAAAAUAAACAAACAAAAUAAAGGCAUUCUGUCCAUCUACAACUUUUUUAUUUAAAAUUUGAAAUAUGAGAAUAUCAUCAUACCCAUAAUAGGUAUCUAUAAAAAUAUACACAUAUACAUACAUGCACACCAAGUUAUUAGGUGUAACCAAAUAAAUUUUUUAAAAAAUCUUCCGCUUUCUGUGAUCAUGCAGCAUCUCUUCAGGAAUAUUUGUACUUAAAUUCUAUUUUUUGUGAUAUUACACAGUUGCACCACUGGUUUUAAGUUAGUAUUUUUAUGGCUUAUCUUUCUGCAUCAUUUUCUUUUCAAUUUUCUGUGUCCUUAUGUUCAAGGUUGUUUUAUAUAAGAAGCAUGAGUUUUUAUUUAGUCUGAUUUAUGGCUUUUAAUUAGAAUAUUUACCCUACUGCAUUUAGCAUAGCUCUUGUAAGAAUUCUGAAUUUAAUUAUAUCAUCUUGUCAGCUCAUGCUUACUUCUUUUUCUUUGCUCUCUUUUGGCUUCUUUUGAAUGGAUUAUUUUUAAAUUUUUCAAUUUUCUUUCAUUCAGCUUGAAAGUCAGAAACCCUAAAACCUUUGUUAAAGGAUCAGGAACAGAAAGUGAUGUGUUUCUUCUAGGCAUAAAGCUGGAAGAGGAUGAAAGUGUGACUAGUUUAACUUAGAAAAUAUUGAAUUAGAAAAUUAUUACAGGAGAAAGGAAGAGUGCGUGGAGGAGGAGUGGAGGGAAUAGUUAGUGAAGUUAGGCAAUCCCAACAAAACAAAUGCCAAAUGUUUUCUCUGAUAUAAGGAAGCUGACUCAUAGUGGGGUAAGGAGGGGGAGAAUGGGAGGAAUACACAAACUCUAGAUAGGGCAAAGGGGUGGGGGUGGGGAAGGGAGGUGGUAUGGGGUUAGAAAUGAUGGUGGAAUAUGAUGAACAUCAUUACCAAAGUACAUGUAUAAAAACAUGAAUUGGUGUGAAAAUACUUUAAAUACAACCAGAGAUAUAAAAAUGUGCUGUAUAUGUGUAAUAAGAAUCAUAGUGCAUUCUGGUGUCAUUUACCUCUUUAAAAAUCAAUUAAAAAACAGAAAAAAAGAAAAAGCUAUAGGGAAGUGGCCUUUACUCAUUAGUAGCACUAGAGAGUGUCAGAACACUGAAAUUCAGUAUCAGAAAGCCCAUGAUCUGCAUUGCAAAGAAAAGAAGGACUUUAAACAGGGUGAAUUCAAUACCGCACAAAACUUGACCCUGCCAAAGGACAGCUUGGCUUUUAAUCCAGUUAGUUUGCUCACAUCUUGUGAAUUCUAUGUGUGUGUUCUUGGGGAUUUUAUUAUUGACUUCUUAGGUUAUUUUUUUCUUAAACUUCUAUACAAUAAGUGUUCCUGAAACACAGUCUAGAAAUAAUAAGAAAUACUCUGUUUACAAUUAAAGAACAUUUGUAGGAAUAAAAGAGGAUUUUACCUAGUUAUUAAAAGGGCACAUCAUGUCCAUACCCCCAAAAUGACAAAAACAGAUGAACCAAAAAUAUUAAAAUACAUCCUAGGGGGGCUGGGUUGUGGCUCAGUUGUAGAGGACUUGCCUAGCAUGUGUGAGACACUGGGUUCAAUUCUCAGCACCUCAUAUAAAUAAAUGAAUAAAAUGAAGGUUCACCAACAGCUGAAAAAUCUUUUAAAAAAAAUACAUCCUAGGGCAACGGUCAUCUGUAAACAGAGAAGAAGGAUCAGGUAGCCACAUAUUGUCCCACAAGCAAGCAACUACAGUCAUCCAUUUCUGAACUGUGAAAUUAACUGAGGCCAUGGCUCAAAUGAACAUUGUCUAUCUAUGAGAAAGUAACAUAGUUAAGACAGCAGUGUCUGUUACAUCGUCACAGGGGCUGCCCCCUGUCCUGUCCAUCUCAAGACCAGUAACCAACCCUACAAAGUUAUGAAAGUGUGCCCCUUAGAAUUAAAGGAUAGUACAAAUAACUCAAAUCCACACAGGGAAAUAAAAAACAGCAGCAAAGGCAGUUGUGUCCCCGGGGAAUAUGGAACAGGAUGCACAAGUUAUGUCUAUAACUCCUUUCUUCCAAUGUUUGUUUUAAAAGAGGUACAAAAUUGUGAUGAAGGACAUAAAAUUAACAAAGAGAAGACUGGUUUUACAAAAUAGCCCAAAGGAAGUGGGAGGAAAUGAAGUUAUAUUGGAGUCCGAUUUUUGUACAAUAUUGAACUUAACAUUAAUCUAAAUUAGAUUGUUUUUAAAAGCUCAUGAUACUCCCUAGGACAAUUAUUAAAAAGUUGAAUUUUAAAAUUCAAUUAAAGAAACAAGAAAAUAAUUAAAAUAGUACACUAGAAUGUACCCACUUAAAAAUAAAGAAGGCAUAAGUGGGGGCUGGGGUUGUGGCUCAGUAGUAGAGCACUGGCCUAGCACUUGUGAUUCUAUCCUCAGCACCACACAAAAAUAAAAGUUAAUAAAAAGAAAGAAAGAAGCAUAAGUUGAGAAACAGAAAUAUCACAUACAUGCCAUAUUGAAACAUGAACCAGACGUGAAUUGUACUUCCUCAGUAAUCAUGCCAAAUGGAAAUGGACUAAGCACUAAAAUCAAAAGGUAUCGAUCAGAUCACCAGAGUGGAUUGAAAACAGGAUCAUGUAACAUGUUGCUAUUGAAGACAUACCUUAGAUUCAAGAAUACAAAUAGGUGCAAAGCAAUAGGGAGGAAAAAGACAUGGCAAAUAAGCAAAGUUAGUGUGACUCCACUGACACAGAAUAAUAGACUUUGGAACAUAAUUGGUUACAAAGAAAGAGAAGGACAUCUUAUGGCAAAUGGUCAAUUUAUUAAGAAUAUAAGUAGGUAUAAACAAAUGUACAUAAAACAGCAGAGCACCAUUAGGAAGGAAAAAUGACAAGAUUAAGGGAGCAACCAAUCAUUCAAUGUUAACAACAGAGACUUUGACAUCCUACCCUAAGUAAGGGAGAAAACAACCAGGAAGAUCCACGAGGAGUAGAAUCCUGAGCAACAGCAUGUAGGCAUUGAGAGUCACAGCAUGGACCCUGUCCAGAGCCUAGCUGGGCUGUGAAGUCCUGUGACUAAGUAACAGUAAUGCGGGCACCAUCACUGCACCUUUGGGGGAGGGAUUACCUGUCCAGAGGUCCUCAAAGGUUUGGAGGGCACAGAGGUGUGUCCUUGUGGAAAGGAAGUGUGUGCUUUCAGGGGUGAUUUGUAUGCUGUGCUGUUUGAAACAUAAAAGCAAUCCAAAAUGUUGCUUGAAGAUCUGACAAACUUCACAUAAUAGUGAAGAAUUAAACAGCUUAGAUUUUUUUUUUAAUAUUUAUUUUUUUUUAGUUGUAGUUGGACACAAUACCUCCAUUUUAUUUAUUUUUAUGUGGUGCUAAGGAUAGAACCCAGGGCCUUGUGCAUGCUAAGUGAGACCUCUAUCUCUGAGCCACAACCCCAGCCCAACUUCUUAGAUUUUUGAGGUUUGAUUUUCCUGGGGGUGUUCACCAGAUCUACUAGAGGCAGGUCUACUAACUGGUGAUUUGAAGUCCAUGUGGGGGCUUCUGGAAUAUGAAGAUGUCCCCUAUCUUUUCCUGGGUUCUGAUUACAAGGAUCUGUGUUUUAUAACAAGUCAUUAAGCUGCAUGUGUAGUGGUAUGCAUUUUUCUCCAAAAGUGCUCUACCUGGAAAAACAUCAUGACUUUGAAAGGGAUUGACUGAUUCAGAUAAAGUUAUCAAAAUCCCAAAGAAUUUUUGUUGGAAAACCAAAGAAGAAGCCAAAGUCACCUAUAAAGGGAAAAUAAUUGAUUGGCCUGAGAAUUUUUUCAGAAUUAUAUCUUGUGAACAGUUGGUGGGAUUCUGCUUCAAGUCCCCUGUGAAAGAUUAAGGUAGGCUUUUGCUCCUAUCACAGUGGGGGAUGGGUUUCUGAGAUAGUAAUGUCUUUGCAAUCAUCCAUUUUCAGCCAAUCUUGUAAGCAUUUCAGGUUUAUAACCCUUUUUAGUCUACAAAACACUCUUGGAGGUGGGAAUUCUGAUUAUCCUCAUUUUAAAAAUGAGAAAAUAGUCACAGAAGAGUUCAAUAAAUUGUUUGAGGAAAGGGGUAGAAGCCAGUUCUGAACCCCAGUAGAAUCACCAGAGCCCAGUUCCAUAGGUUCAUGAGCACAAGCAACACAUAGGAACUCAAAUGCUCUUUACACAAGUUCUCUUGUAAAUAUUACUGAAGGAUGAACUUCUACUAUUCAAGAAAUGAAGUGAUAACUAUAACAAGAAACCUGAAGUGACCAGGGUUCCUUAUAUGUGACCUCGACUAGAACAGAUUCAUGACUUAUGGGUAUAGAACAGAAUAAAAAUUAUAUCAGUUCCACAGGAAAAGAAAUGCCAUAACCAAGUACAAUUAGCAAAACAGAGAAUUAAAAGAUAUUUAAUAUGGUGACAUCAAGUAAUGGAGAUAUAUAUAUAUAUAUAUAUAUAUAUAUAUAUAUAUAUAUAUAUAUAUAUAUAUUUUUAAGCAAUUACAGUGAAACCUAAGAAAAAUGAACUUGGAAAAUUUUGGCAUGGGGAAGGAAAAAAUAAAAGAAUUGGAAAUGAACUAUUUUCAAUCCCCUGCAUUGCAAGCGACCAACAGAAAACACCUCAAGAAUAGGUUCAAUGUAAAUGUUCUUUUAAUUAAAGAUAAUUCUAAAACACCAAACUACAAUCCUUUCAUUAUCAAAAGGUAAACAAACCAUAAUUUAAAAAAUACAGAUCACAUAGAAAAAGUUUUUUUUUUUUUUUUUUUAAGUAAAAGAAACAAGUGAAUCAAAUUACAAUGCAUUGGCUGGGGUUGCAGCUUAUUGGUAAAUCACCUGCCUCACACAUGUGAAGCACUGGGUUUGAUCCUCAGUACCACAUAAAAAUAAAUAUAUAUAUUGUGUCCAACUACCACUAAAAAAUUUUUAAAAAUAAAAUGCAAAAGGGGCAUCAAAUACAUUGAUAACAUCUGCAGUGUAAAUGGCUUUAACUUGCCUAUUAUGGGCAAAAGGAAUCAGUGUGAAUCAGAAAGUAAAAUCCAGGCAUUUUGUUAUUUACACACUCAAGAAAGGUCAUCUCAGGAAGGCUGGAAAUAAUAGGAUGGACAAUCCACACCAGCCAUAUGGAAAAACACAAUGGGCAGAGUGAGGCAUGCCCAGAUCCUGUCACAUAAAACCACUGAAAUACUACCAUUAAAUGAGACAAAUUAGCUUCAGUUUAAAAAUCAAUGACAAAUACAAAUUUUGAAGCUCUGAAUUUCUAUGUUCAAAAGAAAAGAACAUCAGUGUUUAUCAGUACAAACCUUUGGAAUAAAAAAGGAGAAAGCAAAAGAAGUUUCAGUUCUCCUUUCUGUAUCCAUUGCAGAUUUCAUAAGUACAAAAUUAUUACCUAAUAUUAAAUAACUAUACACACAUAUUUUAACAGUGUAUCCAUUUAUAUAGAAUGUUCCAUCACUUCAAACAUUCUCAAGGAUUUACAAAAUCAGGUCAUACACUCCAAAAUAUCAAAUCUCAACUCACAAGAAAAGAAACAAUACAAAUACUAUGUGCUGAUCAUAAUUUAAUAAAAGUAGAAGCUGGUAGCCCAACUAGAAAAUAAACUUUUGUUCCAAAAAUAUUUUAAAACUAAAUAAAAACCUAGUAUUUUUUUAAAGUGCUAAAGAUUAAAAUAAUGGAACAUCUAGAAAAUAAUGUAUGCAGUCUAUCAGAACAAAUGAGAUACAAAAAAAAAAAAAAGAAGAAGAAAAUGGUUUCAAGGAAAAUGUGCAGCUUCCAAUGACAUACACUAGUAAAAAUGUGCAGAGGAUAGCACUGCCUAUACACUAAAAGCCAGUGUCCCCUUAUUCAUGAAGAACAGUAUGGGCUCCAUCCUCCAGAAAUUGUGGCUUGUCUGUGGUGGGUGACUAAUUUAGGGAAUGCCAGUGGAUGAACUUGGUGCCUCCUCAGGGCUGUACUGCCAGCUUCUGGGUAUUCCUAAAGGUCCUCUGCUGGCUUGGUGCAUGUGAAAGCAGGGCAGCUCUGGAGCAGGGGACUCUGAUGUUGGCAUGUGGCCAAACUGCCCAAACUUUCUAACAAGCCAGAUUAAAUUUUUAUUUUGAGAAAAUAUCAUGCUCAGAUCAUAGUCUGCCUUAUGAUUUUUCUGCCCCCAGCUACGGAGUAGCUGGGGUUAUACGCUUGUGCUAUCUUGUUCUUCUGUGUUUUUCUCUUUGAUUUUCAAUUUGGGGAGUUUAUAUUGAUGUAUUCUCAAGCUUCCUGAAAUUUCCUUUAGUUGCAGCUGGUCUACUAACAAGCCCCAUGAAGGCAUUCUUUGUUUGUUUUUGCUGUCUAAUAUUUCUUUUUGAUUUUUCUUAGAAUAUGUAUAUCAUACUUAUAUAAAACAUCUGGCUUUUCAUGUUGUCUGCUUUUCCUAUAGUGUCUUUACUGUACAAAUCACAGUUUUUUUUUUAAUUUCCUGGUUUGAUCAUUCUGACAUCCUGCCUUAUCUGAGUCUGGCUCUGACACUUCUCUGUCUCUGCCUUCUCUGCUUGCCUUUUAGUAUUCAUGACAAUGCUGGACAUGACUUACAGGUCAAGGACUUCAGGCAGAGAGAUAGUGAUGUGGUUAGUGACUUGGUUGUGAGGUUUGGGCUGAGGGGAGGCACUGUUCAUUUCAGUGAUUAAGUUGAGUGGUAUUGGUGAACCUGUGUCCCCAAGGUUGUCUCUUAAAAAAAAUUCCUCUGUUUUGCCUGCUCCUCAAGUGGAACAGGAAGGAUCGAAUGGACUGGAGUUGAGCAUUUCUUUCUCCAGAUUUGUGUUUCCCUGAUUAAACCCAGUCAGGUGAAGUCAGUCCAAAUACUUACUCUUGAUGCCAGGCCUCAUUGAGAAGCAACAAAUGUUCUAGGAAUAUUUGAAAACAGUUGUUCACCCUGAUCUUCAAGAAGCAUAAGUGUUUUUUUUUUUUUUUUCUCCACACUUCACUCUGAGGACCCAGUAGACUCCUGAAGAUGACCUGAAAAGGUGUCGGACCUCUUCUCAGUGUAAGCAGCCUGAAGAUUUUAACUCUGGGACAUGUGACCUUUGAGACUCCAGCAAUUUGUCUAUUAUAGGCUAGGUUUUCCUACCCUUAUAGAAACCCUAUCCAGGUUUGUGAUUAUGGAUUAUGGCUGUGGUGAGUUGUAAUUCUCCCUAUCAAUGUGUCUUUCUAGAGUUCACCCAGGGCCUCCUGUAUGCUAAGCACACACUCUACCACUAGCUACAGCCUCAGCCCUUAGAUCCACCAUUUUUUUGCCAACAGUUUGCUCUGAGAUCUCAAUUCUUUGUUGGAUGAACAAGAGUUGCUAAUUUCGGGUUUGUUCAGUGUUUGACUUAUUACAAGGGUGGGAAACUUCCAAUCUUCUUUUAGGUAGAACCAGAAACUGGUAGUCUUCUUGUAUCUUGUUUUAUUCCUUUAUUUCACUGUCAAAGUUAUGUUUCUGGUUGUUUUUAAUUGCAUAAUUCUUAUUCAUUUCAUUUCUCAUUCAGCAUAUAAUGUUAUAGUUAAAGCUUCAUUCCAGGGUUUCAUAAACUGACUUCCAGACCACUCACAUAUAAUUGAAUCAAGCCUUUAUUGAAGCACACCGGUGGUGGCUGACCAGAACACAGAGCUGUUCCCCUGAUCAGCCCUGAACAAUUGCAAAGGCACUCCUUAUACGCCUGAAAACUGCAAAAGGGAUGUUUGGGGGGUCUACCCAUUGCAAGCAAGCUAGGUUACAGAAGCGGGACAGUGCAGUCAAGCAGAGGGAAACCUAACCAAUCACAGUUAGACCAGUCACAGCAGUUACAGAAACAGAGCCCCAUUAUCCUAGUUACAGAAACAAUACCCCAUUAGGUAGUUUUGUUCUUAAAGAUUUCUAUAGCAAAAGGAAAUGAACUUCUUGCCCCAGUCAUGACUCUUCUACUUGGCAUGGUUGUUUCACAGGAUGAAGACAUAAAACAAAAUGGAGUCACAUUUGCUCCUACUAUCACAAUAUGAUUAUUUGUUAAUGAUUUGAAUUUGAGUUUGUAAUCCACUCAAGUUCAUUUUCCUCUUGUUUGAUAUAGUUGAAGAGUGAAUGCUUCCUGCUGUGGGAAGAACACAUGGGCUGACCAGAGGAUUAUUGGCUGACAGGUUUGUCUCUCACCACUUUGAAUAUUUCAACCUACUGUCUUCUGUGUUCUAUGGUUUCUGAGGAGAAAUGUGAUGAAGACCUUAUGAGGAAAUGAUAACCAAGUACCCUUCCUCUCAGCCCCAUAGAUGUGAACAACAUGGCCUUCAGUGUCUUAGGGUAUGAAGCAUUUGUGCCAGUGUCAGGAUGUGAAUGAAUCACUACCAUCCUUUGGACACCAAUUGUUUUGAUUUGGAAGGAAAACAAUUUGCACACCUUGAGUGUAGGUAUGAUCAGUUAUUUAAAAGGCAAAAGUCAUUAUGGAUUUCCAGACUUUAGGUUCAAUGUAAAUGUUCUUUUAAUUAAAGAUAAUUCUAAAACACCAAACUACAAUCCUUUCAUUAUCAAAAGGUAAACAAACCAUAAUUUAAAAAAUACAGAUCACAUAGAAAAAGUUUUUUUUUUUUUUUUUUUUUUUUUAAGUAAAAGAAACAAGUGAAUCAAAUUACAAUGCAUUGGCUGGGGUUGCAGCUUAUUGGUAAAUCACCUGCCUCACACAUGUGAAGCACUGGGUUUGAUCCUCAGUACCACAUAAAAAUAAAUAUAUAUAUUGUGUCCAACUACCACUAAAAAAUUUUUAAAAAUAAAAUGCAAAAGGGGCAUCAAAUACAUUGAUAACAUCUGCAGUGUAAAUGGCUUUAACUUGCCUAUUAUGGGCAAAAGGAAUCAGUGUGAAUCAGAAAGUAAAAUCCAGGCAUUUUGUUAUUUACACACUCAAGAAAGGUCAUCUCAGGAAGGCUGGAAAUAAUAGGAUGGACAAUCCACACCAGCCAUAUGGAAAAACACAAUGGGCAGAGUGAGGCAUGCCCAGAUCCUGUCACAUAAAACCACUGAAAUACUACCAUUAAAUGAGACAAAUUAGCUUCAGUUUAAAAAUCAAUGACAAAUACAAAUUUUGAAGCUCUGAAUUUCUAUGUUCAAAAGAAAAGAACAUCAGUGUUUAUCAGUACAAACCUUUGGAAUAAAAAAGGAGAAAGCAAAAGAAGUUUCAGUUCUCCUUUCUGUAUCCAUUGCAGAUUUCAUAAGUACAAAAUUAUUACCUAAUAUUAAAUAACUAUACACACAUAUUUUAACAGUGUAUCCAUUUAUAUAGAAUGUUCCAUCACUUCAAACAUUCUCAAGGAUUUACAAAAUCAGGUCAUACACUCCAAAAUAUCAAAUCUCAACUCACAAGAAAAGAAACAAUACAAAUACUAUGUGCUGAUCAUAAUUUAAUAAAAGUAGAAGCUGGUAGCCCAACUAGAAAAUAAACUUUUGUUCCAAAAAUAUUUUAAAACUAAAUAAAAACCUAGUAUUUUUUUAAAGUGCUAAAGAUUAAAAUAAUGGAACAUCUAGAAAAUAAUGUAUGCAGUCUAUCAGAACAAAUGAGAUACAAAAAAAAAAAAAAGAAGAAGAAAAUGGUUUCAAGGAAAAUGUGCAGCUUCCAAUGACAUACACUAGUAAAAAUGUGCAGAGGAUAGCACUGCCUAUACACUAAAAGCCAGUGUCCCCUUAUUCAUGAAGAACAGUAUGGGCUCCAUCCUCCAGAAAUUGUGGCUUGUCUGUGGUGGGUGACUAAUUUAGGGAAUGCCAGUGGAUGAACUUGGUGCCUCCUCAGGGCUGUACUGCCAGCUUCUGGGUAUUCCUAAAGGUCCUCUGCUGGCUUGGUGCAUGUGAAAGCAGGGCAGCUCUGGAGCAGGGGACUCUGAUGUUGGCAUGUGGCCAAACUGCCCAAACUUUCUAACAAGCCAGAUUAAAUUUUUAUUUUGAGAAAAUAUCAUGCUCAGAUCAUAGUCUGCCUUAUGAUUUUUCUGCCCCCAGCUACGGAGUAGCUGGGGUUAUACGCUUGUGCUAUCUUGUUCUUCUGUGUUUUUCUCUUUGAUUUUCAAUUUGGGGAGUUUAUAUUGAUGUAUUCUCAAGCUUCCUGAAAUUUCCUUUAGUUGCAGCUGGUCUACUAACAAGCCCCAUGAAGGCAUUCUUUGUUUGUUUUUGCUGUCUAAUAUUUCUUUUUGAUUUUUCUUAGAAUAUGUAUAUCAUACUUAUAUAAAACAUCUGGCUUUUCAUGUUGUCUGCUUUUCCUAUAGUGUCUUUACUGUACAAAUCACAGUUUUUUUUUUAAUUUCCUGGUUUGAUCAUUCUGACAUCCUGCCUUAUCUGAGUCUGGCUCUGACACUUCUCUGUCUCUGCCUUCUCUGCUUGCCUUUUAGUAUUCAUGACAAUGCUGGACAUGACUUACAGGUCAAGGACUUCAGGCAGAGAGAUAGUGAUGUGGUUAGUGACUUGGUUGUGAGGUUUGGGCUGAGGGGAGGCACUGUUCAUUUCAGUGAUUAAGUUGAGUGGUAUUGGUGAACCUGUGUCCCCAAGGUUGUCUCUUAAAAAAAAUUCCUCUGUUUUGCCUGCUCCUCAAGUGGAACAGGAAGGAUCGAAUGGACUGGAGUUGAGCAUUUCUUUCUCCAGAUUUGUGUUUCCCUGAUUAAACCCAGUCAGGUGAAGUCAGUCCAAAUACUUACUCUUGAUGCCAGGCCUCAUUGAGAAGCAACAAAUGUUCUAGGAAUAUUUGAAAACAGUUGUUCACCCUGAUCUUCAAGAAGCAUAAGUGUUUUUUUUUUUUUUUUCUCCACACUUCACUCUGAGGACCCAGUAGACUCCUGAAGAUGACCUGAAAAGGUGUCGGACCUCUUCUCAGUGUAAGCAGCCUGAAGAUUUUAACUCUGGGACAUGUGACCUUUGAGACUCCAGCAAUUUGUCUAUUAUAGGCUAGGUUUUCCUACCCUUAUAGAAACCCUAUCCAGGUUUGUGAUUAUGGAUUAUGGCUGUGGUGAGUUGUAAUUCUCCCUAUCAAUGUGUCUUUCUAGAGUUCACCCAGGGCCUCCUGUAUGCUAAGCACACACUCUACCACUAGCUACAGCCUCAGCCCUUAGAUCCACCAUUUUUUUGCCAACAGUUUGCUCUGAGAUCUCAAUUCUUUGUUGGAUGAACAAGAGUUGCUAAUUUCGGGUUUGUUCAGUGUUUGACUUAUUACAAGGGUGGGAAACUUCCAAUCUUCUUUUAGGUAGAACCAGAAACUGGUAGUCUUCUUGUAUCUUGUUUUAUUCCUUUAUUUCACUGUCAAAGUUAUGUUUCUGGUUGUUUUUAAUUGCAUAAUUCUUAUUCAUUUCAUUUCUCAUUCAGCAUAUAAUGUUAUAGUUAAAGCUUCAUUCCAGGGUUUCAUAAACUGACUUCCAGACCACUCACAUAUAAUUGAAUCAAGCCUUUAUUGAAGCACACCGGUGGUGGCUGACCAGAACACAGAGCUGUUCCCCUGAUCAGCCCUGAACAAUUGCAAAGGCACUCCUUAUACGCCUGAAAACUGCAAAAGGGAUGUUUGGGGGGUCUACCCAUUGCAAGCAAGCUAGGUUACAGAAGCGGGACAGUGCAGUCAAGCAGAGGGAAACCUAACCAAUCACAGUUAGACCAGUCACAGCAGUUACAGAAACAGAGCCCCAUUAUCCUAGUUACAGAAACAAUACCCCAUUAGGUAGUUUUGUUCUUAAAGAUUUCUAUAGCAAAAGGAAAUGAACUUCUUGCCCCAGUCAUGACUCUUCUACUUGGCAUGGUUGUUUCACAGGAUGAAGACAUAAAACAAAAUGGAGUCACAUUUGCUCCUACUAUCACAAUAUGAUUAUUUGUUAAUGAUUUGAAUUUGAGUUUGUAAUCCACUCAAGUUCAUUUUCCUCUUGUUUGAUAUAGUUGAAGAGUGAAUGCUUCCUGCUGUGGGAAGAACACAUGGGCUGACCAGAGGAUUAUUGGCUGACAGGUUUGUCUCUCACCACUUUGAAUAUUUCAACCUACUGUCUUCUGUGUUCUAUGGUUUCUGAGGAGAAAUGUGAUGAAGACCUUAUGAGGAAAUGAUAACCAAGUACCCUUCCUCUCAGCCCCAUAGAUGUGAACAACAUGGCCUUCAGUGUCUUAGGGUAUGAAGCAUUUGUGCCAGUGUCAGGAUGUGAAUGAAUCACUACCAUCCUUUGGACACCAAUUGUUUUGAUUUGGAAGGAAAACAAUUUGCACACCUUGAGUGUAGGUAUGAUCAGUUAUUUAAAAGGCAAAAGUCAUUAUGGAUUUCCAGACUUGGAAUGGAAGAGCCAUUGAAACCUCCUACAGAUCUUAAUAUCUAAACUGGUACAUAUCAGUCUCCAUAACACACUGAAGCCAGAAACUUCUGAAGUCCUUCCUUAUUCUUAUUAUAAAGUGAAAAAGGUCUUUGCAGCCAAUGUGUGAGGAAACCACUGUGGGUUAUACCCAGGUAAGGGAGCCCCGGCUCUACAAUAUGUAUGAUAUAUAAUGUACGCAUUGUUUAGUCUCUUGAUUAUGGAUUUUGGGUAAGAAAGCAUACUGGUGAUAUUCUCAUCAUUUCUUGCAGGACACAUCCAGUUAACAUGGUUCAUCACAUGUGAGAAUAAGCUUGUUCACAGGUAUCUCCACUGUGAAGUUACUUUCCCCACUUCUUCUCACACUCCUCAGAAGCAAGUCAUCCCCAAGACAGUGAAUUAAGUGACCCUCAGCUCUCCAGGGAGGGAGUAGCCACACACAUGAUCUGGAGUUCUGUCUCAAGUGUUUAAAACUAGCUCAUCUGAAGAUCCUCAGGAGUCCUUUUCCACCCUUUCUUUUUAGUUAGAUGAUUUAUACAAUGCAAGAUGACCUGCUUUUCUUUGCUUAAGCUUUUCAGGUUAAAUGAGACAAUAAAAUAAAUGGGAGAUGGGUUCUUUGCCAUUAUAAAUUUGUGACUUGUCCAAGUCACAUGUGCCUUUUCUGACAAGCUAGGGAGAAUUAUGAAAGUAUAUACUGACUACUAUGUAUUUUAUCAACUCUAAAGGGAGACAUUUGGAUUGUGUUCAAUUCUAGAACAGCCUUCUUAUUAUGAUUUAUUUGAACAUCAGUUCUGUGAAUUUAAAUUACAGCUACAUUUCCCAAUGCAUGCUGAAGUGUAUGUAAAAGACUCUAUGCUAUAGCUUUAUUUUCUUUGUUUUCAUGGUACUUGAGAUCUAACCCAUGGCUCAUGCAUGCUAGACAAGCACCCUAAUAGUAAACUACAUCCUUAACUUUUUUUAUUUUGAGAUAAGGUCUUGCUAGCAUCAAACUUGUGACCCUCCUACUUCAGUCUCCCAUGUAACUGGGAAUAUAGUUGUGUUCCACCAAACAUGGCUUAUGGCAUUGUUUGUAGUGACCAAAUACCCAAACAUACAAAAAGAACAAAAUUAACCCCUAAUAAAGCAUAAGCAUCCAUUAAUAGAAAAUUAGUUAAAUAAAUCAUGGAACAUAGCUAGUAUUGGAUAUGAUGCUACUUUUUAAGUAUGAAUGACACAAUGAAAUAUUACUCAGCAUUAAAAGAGAAUAAAAUCAUGGCAUUUGCAGGCUAAUGAAUGGAGUGGUAGAAGAGAAUGCUCAGUGAAGUUAGCCAAUCCCCAAAAAACAAAUGAUGAAUGUUUUCUCUGAUAUAAGGUGACUGACUCAUAGUGGGGUAGGGAGGAAGAGCAUAGGAGGAA